UCGUGGAGUGAUCUGUCUGCUUAAUUGCGUUUCAGAAAAUAGGUUCUUAGAGGUAUUGUUGUGCAGCGUGAUUUUCAAUUUUGCAUUCGUGCAAAUUUGUUUGUCCCUGUACACAGCCCAUGAACCUUGAAGGUAACGAACGUGACCGCAACCUCUUGUUGCCUUCCUUGCAUCUUUUGAUGCACUGCUACCUCGUGAUUUUUCCUUUUGGAAAGUUGUGAGGACUAGUAGAGUGGAGUGCAAACUAGAGGGACCGCCGACCUUUUUAAAACGGAGGAAGGUUGCGGCAAUAACA
This 295-nucleotide ribosomal RNA is filed under the name uncultured eukaryote. Its description in RNAcentral is "partial 18S ribosomal RNA". The record is from RNAcentral.